Molecule: long non-coding RNA, 419 nt
Organism: Notolabrus celidotus (New Zealand spotty)
Lineage: Eukaryota; Metazoa; Chordata; Actinopteri; Labriformes; Labridae
Exons: 2
Source: RefSeq, a predicted model, not a curated record
UGAGGUGAUCAGCUGCAGCUGGGAUGUGAUGAGGACGCCGACCAGUGUAACCAUGACAAGACUCAACCACAGAGAGACCAACAAACUUUGGAGAACCAGUACGUAACUUUUGACUUAACUCAACCAAACAAAAAAGAAACUUGAACUCACGGGCGAAGCUUGGGCUGGCCACUCACCAUCCAGAGUACUCUGGCAGACCAGUGUGCAGGUACAGAGCCGGAGCUGAGGGGGACCAUAUGGACCUCAUGGCAAACAUGUUAAAUUGUGUCCACCUGUCAGUCAACUUAUCCACGCCUCUAACAAUCUGAAUUAAUGCAGAACUCUGUGUCAAUGUAAUCAAAGGAGAUGAGAUAUGAGAAAUCACCUCAUGUACAGUUGAACACAGAAAAGAGACAUCAAGACUAAAAAUGUUAUUUUGA